GAACUUGGCAGAGAUGCCUUGGUGCCUUCGGGAACGCUGAGACAGGUGCUGCAUGGCUGUCGUCAGCUCGUGUUGUGAAAUGUUGGGUUAAGUCCCGCAACGAGCGCAACCCUUAUCCUUUGUUGCCAGCGAUUCGGUCGGGAACUCAAAGGAGACUGCCGGUGAUAAACCGGAGGAAGGUGGGGAUGACGUCAAGUCAUCAUGGCCCUUACGAGUAGGGCUACACACGUGCUACAAUGGCGCAUACAAAGAGAAGCGACCUCGCGAGAGCAAGCGGACCUCAUAAAGUGCGUCGUAGUCCGGAUCGGAGUCUGCAACUCGACUCCGUGAAGUCGGAAUCGCUAGUAAUCGUGGAUCAGAAUGCCACGGUGAAUACGUUCCCGGGCCUUGUACACACCGCCCGUCACACCAUGGGAGUGGGUUGCAAAAGAAGUAGGUAGCUUAACCUUCGGGAGGGCGCUUACCACUUUGUGAUUCAUGACUGGGGUGAAGUCGUAACAAGGUAAGCGUAGCGAG
This 516-nucleotide ribosomal RNA is filed under the name uncultured bacterium. Its description in RNAcentral is "bacterial SSU rRNA". It matches the Rfam family "Bacterial small subunit ribosomal RNA", at positions 993 to 1509 of the family's 1533-position model. The record is from RNAcentral.